This 555-nucleotide ribosomal RNA is filed under the name Staphylococcus sp. A10_73. RNAcentral's name for it is "bacterial SSU rRNA". It matches the Rfam family "Bacterial small subunit ribosomal RNA", at positions 342 to 889 of the family's 1533-position model. The record is from RNAcentral. Lineage: Bacteria; Bacillati; Bacillota; Bacilli; Caryophanales; Staphylococcaceae.
CGGGAGGCAGCAGUAGGGAAUCUUCCGCAAUGGGCGAAAGCCUGACGGAGCAACGCCGCGUGAGUGAUGAAGGUCUUCGGAUCGUAAAACUCUGUUAUUAGGGAAGAACAAACGUGUAAGUAACUGUGCACGUCUUGACGGUACCUAAUCAGAAAGCCACGGCUAACUACGUGCCAGCAGCCGCGGUAAUACGUAGGUGACAAGCGUUAUCCGGAAUUAUUGGGCGUAAAGCGCGCGUAGGCGGUUUUUUAAGUCUGAUGUGAAAGCCCACGGCUCAACCGUGGAGGGUCAUUGGAAACUGGAAAACUUGAGUGCAGAAGAGGAAAGUGGAAUUCCAUGUGUAGCGGUGAAAUGCGCAGAGAUAUGGAGGAACACCAGUGGCGAAGGCGACUUUCUGGUCUGUAACUGACGCUGAUGUGCGAAAGCGUGGGGAUCAUACAGGAUUAGAUACCCUGGUAGUCCACGCCGUAUACGAUGAGUGCUAAGUGUUAGGGGGUUCCGCCCCUUAGUGCUGCAGCUAACGCAUUAAGCACUCCGCCUGGGGAGUACGACCGC